RNAcentral lists this ribosomal RNA (112 nucleotides) under Clostridiales bacterium. The record is from RNAcentral. Lineage: Bacteria; Bacillati; Bacillota; Clostridia; Eubacteriales.
UGGCAAUGGCGGAGGGGCAACACCGGUUCCCAUUCCGAACACACAGGUAAAGUCCUCCAGCGCUGAUGGUACUGAGGUGGAGACGCCUUGGGAGAGUAAGUCGCUGCCGGGU